AAACUGUAAGCCAGCCACCACAAUUAAAUGUUUUCCUUUAUAAGAGUUGUCACGGUCCAAGGCUUAUCUACUGCAUUCCAGUUGUGUUGACCCCUGGGAUUUCCCCAAAUGUGGGACACUCAACUGCAUAAUUUGUGGUAGUGGGGACCACACUCGCACUCUCCUCU
Arvicola amphibius (Eurasian water vole) is the source of this 167-nucleotide small nuclear RNA. RefSeq annotates it as U1 spliceosomal RNA. The record is from RefSeq and is a predicted model, not a curated record. The transcript has a single exon. Lineage: Eukaryota; Metazoa; Chordata; Mammalia; Rodentia; Cricetidae.